Punica granatum (pomegranate) is the source of this 166-nucleotide non-coding RNA. The record is from Rfam. NCBI's taxonomy places the organism in Eukaryota, Viridiplantae, Streptophyta, Magnoliopsida, Myrtales, Lythraceae.
AGAGAUUGGAGUGCAGCCAAGGAUGACUUGCCGGCAUUUGCUUGCUUUAAUCAAUUAUAUUGAGUUGCCCUUACUCAAAUAAUUGAUUAAUGAUACAUAUAUAUGUGUAUAUAUAUAUAUAUCAGGUAAAAGUUGGCAAGUUGUCCUUGGCUACAUUUGCCUCUCU